Molecule: ribosomal RNA, 1344 nt
Filed under: Triticum aestivum (bread wheat)
Lineage: Eukaryota; Viridiplantae; Streptophyta; Magnoliopsida; Poales; Poaceae
Description: partial small subunit ribosomal RNA
Source: RNAcentral
AUGGCCGUGGACAGCGGGGACGCCGCCGCCAUGGCCGUCGCGGUCACCGGCACCCGCACGGUGGCGCCGGCCAAGACCAAGGUCACCCUCGCCACCUUCGACCUGCCCUACAUCACCUUCUACUACAACCAGAAGCUGCUCCUCUACCGCCUCCCGCAGGGCGCCGCCGACUUCCAGGACGUCACCGCGCGCAUGGCCGACGCGCUCGGGGACGCGCUCGCCUACUUCUACCCGCUCGCCGGCCGGAUCCGCCAGGAGAAGGGCGACGGCGGUGCGCUGUACGUCGACGGGGAGGAGGGCGCGGAGGUCGUCGAGGCCGCCGCCGAGGGCGUCUCCGUGGACCAGCUCGCCGGCGAGGACUGCGGCGAGGAGGCGGAGAAGCUCAUGCAGCAGCUCAUACCCUACACCGGCGUCAUGAACCUCGAGGGGCUCCACCGCCCGCUGCUCGCGGUCCAGUUCACUAAGCUCAAGGACGGCCUCGCCGUGGGCUGCGCCUUCAACCACGCCGUGCUGGACGGCACCGCCACGUGGCACUUCAUGAGCUCCUGGGCGGAGCUCUGCCGCGGCGCCGCCGCCCCGUCGGCGCUCCCGAUCCACAACCGCGCCAUGGCGCGCUCCGUGCGCGUCGGCCUCACCCUGCCGGCCUCCGCGGAGGCGCACGAGAAGACGGACCCCAACGGGCCCAAGAAGCCGCUCGUGGCCCGCGUCUUCUCCUUCUCGGAGCCCGUCGUGGCCCGCAUCAAGGCCAACGCCAACGCGGCGCUGCCCCCCGGCGCGAAGCCCUUCUCCGCCUUCCAGUCCCUGGGCGCCCACAUCUGGCGGUCCGUCUCGCGCGCGCGCGAGCUGGGCCCCGCGGACAUCACCGUCUUCGCCGUGUUCGCCGACUGCCGGGCCCGCCUCGACCCGCCCGUGCCGGCGACGUACUUCGGCAACCUCAUCCAGGCGGUGUUCACGGGCGUGCCCGCGGGGAUGCUCCUGGGCGGGCCGCCGGAGCUGGCGGCCGGGAUGCUGCAGAAGGCCAUCGGCGAGCACGACGCGGCCGCCGUGACGCGGAGGCUGGACGAGUACGAGGCGGCGCCCAAGCUGUUCCACUACAGCGACGCCGGGCCCAACUGCGUGGCCGUGGGCAGCUCGCCGCGCUUCCGCGUGUACGACGUGGACUUCGGGUUCGGCAGGCCGGAGCGCGUCCGCAGCGGCGGCAACAACAAGUUCGACGGGAUGGUGUACCUGUACCCGGGCCGCGGCGGCGACAGCGGCGGCAUCGACGUGGAGCUGGCGCUGCAGCCGGAGCCCAUGCAGAGGCUCGAGAAGGACGAGGAGUUCCUGCAGAUCGCGGCUGCAUGA